This 73-nucleotide transfer RNA is filed under the name Saccharomyces cerevisiae P301. Its description in RNAcentral is "tRNA-Lys". The record is from RNAcentral. Lineage: Eukaryota; Fungi; Ascomycota; Saccharomycetes; Saccharomycetales; Saccharomycetaceae.
CAUAAUAUUAUAAGCCUUUAUCAACAAUGGAACCCCCAACAAUUAUCUCAAAAUUCACCCAUAUCUUAAUUAG